Long non-coding RNA from Scylla paramamosain (green mud crab), 2229 nucleotides. RefSeq lists it as uncharacterized. The record is from RefSeq and is a predicted model, not a curated record. The transcript is spliced from 3 exons. NCBI's taxonomy places the organism in Eukaryota, Metazoa, Arthropoda, Malacostraca, Decapoda, Portunidae.
CACGCAGUAUGUCGGUGCCCGCCGCGAUGGUCUCCAAUGGCAGGUGUUUGUGUAUAUUUGAAUUAUCGUCUUUUAUUGUGCGAAUCUGACGUGAUGGUGCCUCCUUUCCCGCUCCUGAGUGAUGGUGGGCGGCACCGGAACUGACAGAGGACCGGACAUGCAGUGUUUGGUGCCGUGGGGAAUGUGUCACUUCUGGACGAGUGACGCAAAACUCUCACGUUCAAUGAAGGCUCACCGCAAAGACUCUACAUCGGUGUGCUUGCGUGGUCACGUUACGUAGAGUGCCUUGGUGAAGUGUUUUCGGUCUCACUGGACUUCGGCGUUUCACUCAUCGCCGCCACAAGUCAGCGCACAGGAUAAAAGAGAAUAAGUGAAACAAAAAACGGUGAUUUUGCAAACACUGAGAUGAGCGGAAUGAACCACAGAAAACGAGAAGCGGUGGCCCCGUAAAAGGCCUCACCACCACCACCACCACCACCACCACCACCACCACCGUCGCCACCAUCGCCACUCACCCUGCCGCCGCCUCCCGCCCGUCCUUGUGGUGCGGGCGGAGACGUGGCACCAGCGCAACGUGGGUGAAGGCGGGGCGGUGAGAGUGAGAGGGGGAUUCCAUGAUGCAAAUCCUGACGUCACGGCCACGUCACAACCCACGCGGCGAACUUGCUCCGGUGGUUUUCACGCGCGGGAUAAAAAGCAAAGUGAAAUCAAGAUCAGAAAGGAAGUUAAUCGUGACUGAAAUUGGGGAGAAAAUGAAUUCCUUGCAUGGGAGAAGUGAGUCAUAUCAUUCACAGAUUUGUUUUGUAACCCUCCUGGCUUGCCCUACCACACCUCCUCCUCCUCCUCCUCCUCCUCCUCCUCCUCCUCCUCCUCCUCCCUUCCCGGAACCUUGCCGAGCGGGUGCCAAGGCAGCAAGGUAUCUGGCACAGUGCACGCCGUGGGGGAGGUGAUGGUGCUGCUGUUGAUAGGUGGUAUUUAAUGGGGCCCGUAGGUGCGAUGGUAGGUGGUGAUGAAUUGUAGCAGUAGGUGGCACGAAGAUUUACCGUGCGUUGCGUGAGACUUCAGGGAACUCGCGUAGCAGUAGUAGGUGGCGAUGUGGGUGGUUGCAGGUACUAAGGGAGGAGUCAAGUGUGGUUUAUUAUGGUCCAAGGAAGGAAGGAUGCUCAGAGUUCAUUAUGAGGAGAUUUAUUCUGAAUUUCCUAUAUCUUGGAGGGUUAAGAGGUACUCGUAGAUUGGAUAGCGGAUGCGGACGGAUGACCAGUGUUGUGUGCUUGUUAGUUGAGUUGUGGUAGGUUGUUAGAGGAGGAGGAGAGGUUGUGGUAGGGAUGUAGGGAAGAGAAUGGAAGGAUAGGAGAGGGAACACACCUGGCGUCAGUGGCUGGUUCUGGCAACACAAGUACAAUUCACAACACAAUACGUAUGCACCUUAAUAACUUCAUCACACGUACGUACACUGUAACUCUCUCUCUCUCUCUCUCUCUCUCUCUCUCUCUCUCUCUCUCUCUCUCUCUCUCUCUCUCUCUCUCUCUCUCUCUCUCUCUCUCUCUCUCUCUCUCUCUCUCUCUCUCUCUCUCUCUCUCUCUCGCUUAUUCUCGAACACACGUUGCUGAGAAAUAAACAGGAAUAUGAUGAGAUACAAAUACUCCUUAGUCAGUCAGUCAGUCAGUCAGUGGGUCAGUGAGUGGGUCAGUCAGUGAGUCAGUAGGACAGUGGUGAGGGACAGGUGAGGCGGGCAGGUAAUGACACGCAGCUGCAAGUGUAACAAUACGCUAUUGGUGAUACAAUGGCCUGGAAAAUACUUAGGCCAUUAUCCCAGGCACGUUGAUGGUGGUGGUGGUGGUGGUGGUGGUGGUAGGGGUGGUGGUGGUAGGAGUGGUGGUGGUGAUGGUGGUGGUGGUUUUGCUUGUUGUUGUUUUGUGGUGAGUGUGGUGGUGGUGGUUGUGUCUACUGUACAUGUACACUAUCUUCAUCUUCGUUGUUGUUGUUGUUAUUGUUGUUGCUUUUGUUUACUAUUGCCAUUUUCAAUUUGUUGUUGACUGGUUAUUUUUCUGCUGUUAUUAUUGUUCACUCUUUGUGGUCUCUUUGUUGGCGUCAAUUGACUGACUGAUUUAUUUAUUGAUUGACUGAUUAUUGUUGUUGUUGUUGUUGUUGUCGUCUUUGUAGUUUAUAGUCACUGUAGUCUUAACUAAUGGGGAGUGGUGAUGGUGAUAUUUACAUUGAUACUGUUAC